AGAGUUUGAUUCUGGCUCAGGAUGAACGCUGGCGGCGUGCCUAACACAUGCAAGUCGAACGGGUCAUGUAGCAAUACAUGGCUAGUGGCGAACGGGUGAGUAAUGCAUAGGUAACCUUCCCCUAAGUCUGGGAUAACCCUUCGAAAGGAGAGCUAAUACCAGAUACACUCUUUGGGUCGCAUGAUCCGGAGAGAAAAGUUUUUUCGCUUAGGGAUGGGCUUAUGUCUGAUUAGCUAGUUGGUAGGGUAAAGGCCUACCAAGGCGAUGAUCGGUAGCUGGUCUGAGAGGAUGGACAGCCACACUGGGACUGAGACACGGCCCAGACUCCUACGGGAGGCAGCAGUGAGGAAUAUUGCGCAAUGGGGGAAACCCUGACGCAGCGACGCCGCGUGAGUGAUGAAGUCUUUCGGGAUGUAAAGCUCUGUCGAGAGGGAUGAUAGUGACAGUACCUCUGAAGGAAGCCCCGGCUAACUACGUGCCUGCAGCCGCGGUAAUACGUAGGGGGCGAGCGUUAUCCGGAUUUAUUGGGCAUAAAGCGUACGCAGGCGGGACUUUAAGUCGAAUGUUAAAUCCAACGGCCUAACCGUUGUUCGCAUUCGAAACUGAAGUUCUAGAGAUCAGGAGAGGAAAGCGGAACUCACAGUGUAGCGGUGAAAUGCGUAGAUAUUGUGAGGAACACCAGUUGCGAAGGCGGCUUUCUGGACUGAAUCUGACGCUCAAGUACGAAAGCGUGGGGAGCAAACGGGAUUAGAUACCCCGGUAGUCCACGCCGUAAACGGUGUUCACUAGGUGUAGGAGGUAUCGACCCCUUCUGUGCCACAGAUAAUUCGUUAAGUGAACCGCCUGGGAAGUACGACCGCAAGGUUAAAACUCAAAGAAAUUGACGGGGGCCCGCACAAGCAGUGGAGCAUGUGGUUUAAUUCGACGAUACGCGAAAAACCUUACCAGGACUUGACAUCUGUAGAAGUCCCUAGAGAUAGGGAUGUGCCCGCAAGGGAGCUACAAGACAGGUGGUGCAUGGCUGUCGUCAGCUCGUGUCGUGAGAUGUUGGGUUAAGUCCCGCAACGAGCGCAACCCCUGUCCCGUGUUGCCAGCAUUUCGGAUGGGAACUCACGGGAGACUGCCGGUGGAAAGCCGGAGGAAGGUAGGGAUGACGUCAAGUCAUCAUGCCCCUUACGUCCUGGGCUACACACAUGCUACAAUGGCCGGUACAAAGGGUAGCAAGACCGCGAGGUGGAGCUAAUCUCAUAAAACCGGUCUCAGUUCGGAUUGUAGUCUGCAACUCGACUACAUGAAGUUGGAAUUGCUAGUAAACGCAGAUCAGCACGCUGCGUUGAAUACGUUCCCGGGCCUUGUACACACCGCCCGUCACACCAUGAGAGUUGGAAACACCCGAAGCCGACACGCUAACCCUCGGGAAGCAGUCGUCGAAGGUGGGUUCAGCGAUUGGGGUGAAGUCGUAACAAGGUA
Molecule: ribosomal RNA, 1470 nt
Filed under: metagenome
Description: bacterial SSU rRNA
Rfam family: Bacterial small subunit ribosomal RNA
Source: RNAcentral